RNAcentral lists this transfer-messenger RNA (267 nucleotides) under Bartonella sp. Negev. RNAcentral describes it as "partial SsrA". It matches the Rfam family "Alphaproteobacteria transfer-messenger RNA", at positions 51 to 310 of the family's 355-position model. Rfam says of the family: Bacterial tmRNA, also known as 10Sa RNA or SsrA, is named for its dual tRNA and mRNA-like properties. Its role is to liberate the mRNA from a stalled ribosome. The record is from RNAcentral. Lineage: Bacteria; Pseudomonadati; Pseudomonadota; Alphaproteobacteria; Hyphomicrobiales; Bartonellaceae.
UGCUAUGGUAAUAAAUGGACAAUGAAAUAAACCCAUUGGACCCGGGGGCGGUACCCGGCGCCUCCACCAAAAUAUAAUCAACAAAGCUUAUACUUUGGUGGGGGCGAAAUAGGAUCGACAAGGGUGUAAAGAUUGCUCUUUUACUCGGCAUUGUACCACCGUCAUCGGACUAAAUUAGUAGUUGCAAAUGACAACUAUGCGGAAGUAUCUCUCGCUGCUUAAGCAGUGCGAAGGCUUCAAAUUAAGCCUUAAACCGUCGCAGGUAAG